Carassius auratus (goldfish) is the source of this 1723-nucleotide long non-coding RNA. Lineage: Eukaryota; Metazoa; Chordata; Actinopteri; Cypriniformes; Cyprinidae. The record is from Ensembl.
ACUUUAUUUCAUACAUAGUGCUAAUUCAAAGUGCUUUCCAAAAAAAGUAUAUUUGAAAAAGAUAUAGUUCCAAAAAGGUUAAAAAAAAAAUAAUGAAAAUACUGUACGAUAAAAAUUGAAAAGUUGAAGAAAAAGGAAAAAAUAAAACAAAAGUAAAUGUUAAAAGGAAUGUGAGAAACAUUUAUAGUAUCAUUCACAAAAUUGUCAACAACUGCCAACAAAAUCUUACAUUUUUGUUUUCGUGUUUUAAUUUUGGUAGCAUAGUAUUGGAAAUAUUCAACAUUGUUUUAUUUGAGUCUCUCGUGUUUCAUCAGCAAGGUUCAGACGGUAAGAUGUCUUACAGUUUGAUCUAUUCCAUGCAAUAUUACAGUUCUAAUAUUGCUACCAGACAGCUAAUCUGUAUUUUUUCACUUGCAUUUUGCAUUUGCCAUGUUAAUUUUGUAUACGGAGUAUACCCAAGUGGGUGGAAAACUGAGUAGAGGUCAGUGGUUACAAGCAGGCAGUGUGGGUUUAGUCUUGAGGGCUCUGCAACAGAUGGAAGACUACUGUCAGAGGAGCCAUGGUAUCUGAUAUAGGUAGAGGAUUGUGUCAUUGCUCAACCCUUUUAAUCAUUUCUGCAUGAGCAAACAUGAAUUCUACUUGUCCAUCUCAAUGUGAACCCACAACAUAAGAAAGGCAGUGGAUGGGAGCACGAAAUAAAAACAGAAAGCUUCAGAUGUCAAUAGAAUAUCUUUAUUAUAGGUUAAAAGGGGGAAUGUCCUUGUAUAAGUCAGAAAAUGUGUUUUAGUUAAAUAAAAUAAAAACUACCUAAUACCCAUAUAAUUAAACAUUAGGCACUUAAUCUAUCAGAAUAUUUAUUCUUCAUCUUGUUUCAUUGUUUUCUAAUUAUUUACUGCCUUAUUCACUGCCUAUUAAUAAGUAUAGUUUUUUUUCUUCCAUAAAGGCACGUAUCAUCUUCGACAAGAUCUCAGCCAAUUUUAGUCUGGCUCUCCCAGGCUCUGAGCAUUUGUCUAGGCUGGGAUCUCUUGUGAGUGGAGUAAAGGUGGAGACUCUGUGGACUUUACCAACUGAUAUUCUGCUAGAAGCGUUACCUGCUAUGAGCCUUCAGACACCUGGGCUCACCCCCCCACAGGUCAACACUAUCAUCUCCAAACUCUGGGUAAGAAACUCCACUCUUUUUCUCUUUAGGCCUCUGAACAUGAAUAUCUCAUAUUGGAGUAUCAGUUGAGAGAAACAGCUGUAAAUCCAUAAUUAAAAGAGCUUCAAGUAUUAACACCAAGACUGGAUAUACAUAACCAUAUGUAAAUCAAAUUCCAUUGUUGGACAAGAUGAGAAGCAAAAGCACCCCUUCAGUGGAAUAGAAGAAUUUCUGGGUUUGAAUAUCUCUUUAAGUGUCACAUAAUAUUACAAAAAUGGAUAGUCAUUUCACCAGAUGCAUGCUGAUCUUGAAUAUGCAACUGCUCAGGAAAUGAAUGUGAAUUUCUUCUUCCAUGCUUUCAGGGUUCUAGUUCUGUGUCCCAGUGGAUGGAUAAAGUCAAUCCUUUGCUCUCUAGCACUCCACUCCUCAGUGUGAUCGCCCAAGUCCCUCAGCUGCUGAUCAGAGACACUGCUGUACACACUCGCCUCUGGAACACACAGCAGGUAUCGUCUAGUCCAGCCAUACACACUUCAUUUAUCAACCACAAUAACAGUACAAUUAUAGUUUUUUGAUAAUAUUAUAUAC